CUGCGAAGAUGGCGGCUGUUAAUUGGAUGAGAGCAACACCCUGAGAAGCUGACGCCAGAUUAAACGCCCGAAAGGUAGUUUUCAUUCGGCAUUCUCGUCUCGGUGUGUUUCUGAGUCCACGCUUUGGUGACAAUAAAGCGCACUAUUCUGAUCCAGACAACUCACCGGCCUCGGCCGUACCCUCCCGCAUCCUCCGACCGGGCCGCCUUACCAGCGUUUCAGUGGAAGAUGUAUCUCCUCAUCCAGAUCUGGAUGUCAGACCAGUCAAGACAAUGUGAGAUUUGAAAAGAACUUAGAAGUAAUGGUGUCCACAUGCAUCUCCUCUCCUGUUCUUCUAGAUGGUGAAGGUUGAGAAUUUGGGAAAUUCUAUCGAGGUUCUGGUUAAACUAAGUUACCAUAAGAAGAGGAAUUUAAAUCAAGGAUCACAUAUCCAGCAUCAUCUCAGAAUCUGAUGGCAGCUUCCAGAUUAUUACAAGCAGAAUGUAACUGCAUUUUGAACAUGGAAGGAACAAGCACAGUUCACAGUGAAGAGAAACCCUAUGCAUAUUCUGUGUGGGGACAAGGGUUCAGCCAAUCAUCUGGCCCCUUGAGACAAAAGACAUUGAGUAAAAGCCAUAGAAAUGUGGGGAUUGUGAUGAAGGAUUCAAAUCCCUGCCUGAGCUGGAGACCCAUCAGCGCAGUCUCAUUGGGGAAAAGCCACUCACUUGCUCUGAGUGUGGGAAAGGAUUUACUCCGUCAUACCAACUCACGACCCACCAGUAAGUUCGCACCGAGGAGAGAUCUUUCAAAUGCACAGACUGUGUGGAAAGUGAUAUAAAUGUUUUGGGGAACUGCUGUGAGCAUGUGGUGUGUUCACAUUGAGGAGUGACCAUUCAGAUAUUGUCACUGUUGGAAAGGGUUCAAGACAUCAUCUGAAGUUACUGUCCACCAGUGCAUUCACACUGGGUAGGGGCCGUUCACCUCCAGUCUGCGGGGGAAGAGAUACGUGCAGUCACAAGACACCUGCGAGUUCAGUCUGAGGAGUGACCUUUUUUAACUGUUCAAUUUGUAGGAAAUGCCUUAAAAGUUCGCAGGAAGUGAUGCCCCUUCAACAGCUUCACACUGGAGGAGACGACUCAACUGCUGUCACUGUGGGACUGGGUUCAGGCAUUCAUCUUGUCUCACAGUUCACCAGUGAAUUCACACUGGGGAGAGGCCAUUUACCUUCUCCACAUGUAGGAAGACAUUGAUUCGAUUACCCCAACUCAUGAUACACCAGCAAACUCACACUGGGGAGAGAACUUUUAAUUGUCCAUUCUGCAGGCAAGCUUUUAAACUUCUCAGGAAGUGAUGACACAUCAACAGGUUCACACUGGGAACCGAACUUUUAACAGCUCAGUCUGCAGUAGGUUGCAUAAGAGUUCUCGCGAUCUGGUGAUCAAUACACGUAUUCAAACUCAAAGACCUUUCAGAUGCUCUCACUGCAGGACUGUGUUCAAGUGAUCAUCUUACCUUUUUAGAACAACAGUGAAUUCACACUGGGGAGAGAUCGUUCACCUGCACCAAGUAUAGGAACAGAUUCACUCGAAAACCCCAUCUGCUGACUCACCAGUGAGUUUGAACACAACGCCAGGAGUUGGACUUUGCUAUUCGUCACAUCCAGAACUGAACCAUGUUCAUUGGUUAAUCAACUCCAAUUCAGUUUUAGCUAUUAAUAUUCUGGAUAAAAAUAAACUGCUUUGUAAUUAAACAG
Long non-coding RNA from Hemiscyllium ocellatum (epaulette shark), 1732 nucleotides. RefSeq lists it as uncharacterized. The transcript has 3 exons. The record is from RefSeq and is a predicted model, not a curated record. Lineage: Eukaryota; Metazoa; Chordata; Chondrichthyes; Orectolobiformes; Hemiscylliidae.